UAGGGAAUAUUGCACAAUGGACGAAAGUCUGAUGCAGCGACGCCGCGUGAGUGAUGAAGGCCUUCGGGUCGUAAAGCUCUGUCGUAUGGGACUAACACAAUGAAGGUACCAUGCAAGAAAGGAUCGGCUAACUUCGUGCCAGCAGCCGCGGUAAGACGAGGGAUCCUAGCGUUGUUCGGAAUUAUUGGGCGUAAAGCGGGUGUAGGCGGCUUUAUAAGUCAGGUGUGAAAGCCCAGGGCUCAACCCUGGAAGUGCACUUGAUACUGUAAAGCUUGAAUGUGGUAGAGGUUACUGGAAUUGCUGGUGUAGUGGUGAAAUACGUAGAUAUCAGCAGGAAUACCGGAGGCGAAGGCGGGUAACUGGGCCAACAUUGACGCUGAGACCCGAAAGCGUGGGGAUCAAACAGGAUUAGAUACCCCCGUAGUCCCUGAGCGGGCUGGCAAGGCGCAU
Molecule: ribosomal RNA, 450 nt
Filed under: uncultured bacterium
Lineage: Bacteria
Description: bacterial SSU rRNA
Rfam family: Bacterial small subunit ribosomal RNA
Source: RNAcentral